GGGUUUAGGGUCUAGGAUUUAGGUUUAGGGUAUAUGAUUUGGGUUUCGGGUCUAGAGUUUGUGUUUAAGAUUUAGGGUAUAAGAUUUGGGUUUAGGGGUUAGGGUUUAGAUUUAUGGUUUAAGGUUUAGGUUUAGAAUUUAUGAUUUAGGGUUUUGUUAGUAGUGUUAACGUUACUAAAAUUGGAGGUCAUUAUUUUUUAUUAUUGUUUCAAUUUUAAAAAAAAAUAUUAAUAUUUUUUAAUUAAUUUAGAUGGCAUUUUGAUUAGUGAUAGAAGUUAUGGUGAAUUUAAACGUUCACUUUAUAGGAUGAACCUAAGUUUUAUUAUUUGUUAUAUACCAGUGCCAAGCCCCCGUGCAAGCGCGAACUUUUGAUUUAAGUUGUUCUAUUUAUCCUGAAGUGUAUAAUAGUAUGACAAAUGUGUAUCUUAUUCAUGGUAGCAUAGCCACUCUCGAGCUCUGAAU
RNAcentral lists this long non-coding RNA (462 nucleotides) under Brassica napus (rape). RNAcentral's name for it is "long non-coding RNA (BNAP_LNC015390)". The record is from RNAcentral. Lineage: Eukaryota; Viridiplantae; Streptophyta; Magnoliopsida; Brassicales; Brassicaceae.